Molecule: ribosomal RNA, 402 nt
Filed under: uncultured bacterium
Lineage: Bacteria
Description: bacterial SSU rRNA
Rfam family: Bacterial small subunit ribosomal RNA
Source: RNAcentral
UGGGGAAUCUUGCACAAUGGGGGCAACCCUGAUGCAGCGACGCCGCAUGAGCGAUGAAGCCCUUCGGGGCGUAAAGCUCUUUCGACCGGAACGAUAAUGACGGUACCGGGAGAAGAAGCUGCGGCUAACUACGUGCAAGCAGCCGCGGUAAUACGUAGGCAGCAAGCGUUGUUCGGAGUUACUGGGCGUAAAGAGUGCGUAGGCGGUUUUCGAAGUUCGGUGUGAAAUCUCCCGGCUUAACUGGGAGGGUGCGCCGAAGACUGGGAAGCUGGAGUGUGGGAAAGGCAGGCGGAAUUCCUGGUGUAGCGGUGAAAUGCGUAGAUAUCAGGAGGAACACCGGCGGUGUAGACGGCUUGCUAGACCAUAACUGACGCUGAGGCACGAAAGCGUGGGUAGCAAACA